UGAAACACGGACCAAGGAGUCUAACAUGUGCGCGAGUCAUGGGGUCUUACGAAACCCAAAGGCGCAAUGAAAGUGAAAUGCUGACUUGGGCAGCAGGUAGGCAGGAUCCCGUCGCUUGCGGCGGGCGCACUGCCGGCCCGUCUCGUCGCGGCAUUGCCCGUGAGGCGGAGCAAGAGCGCACACGUUGGGACCCGAAAGAUGGUGAACUAUGCCUGAGUAGGACGAAGUCAGAGGAAACUCUGAUGGAGGUCCGUAGCGAUUCUGACGUGCAAAUCGAUCGUCAAACUUGGGUAUAGGGGCGAAAGACUAAUCGAACCAUCUAGUAGCUGGUUCCCUCCGAAGUUUCCCUCAGGAUAGCUGGCACUAAUACGCUUGCAGUUUUAUCCGGUAAAGCGAAUGAUUAGAGGCCUUGGGGACUAAAUGACCUCAACCUAUUCUCAAACUUUAAAUGGGUAAGAAGUGCGACUCGCUCAAUUGGAGCCGUACCACGAAUGCAAAGUGCCAAGUGGGCCACUUUUGGUAAGCAGAACUGGCGCUGUGGGAUGAACCAAACGUCCGGUUAAGGCGCCCGAUACUGACGCUCAUGAGAUACCAUAAAAGGUGUUGGUUGAUAUAGACAGCAGGACGGUGGCCAUGGAAGUCGGAAUCCGCUAAGGAGUGUGUAACAACUCACCUGCC
This 678-nucleotide ribosomal RNA is filed under the name Hiatella sp. B HML-2015. Its description in RNAcentral is "eukaryotic LSU rRNA". It matches the Rfam family "Eukaryotic large subunit ribosomal RNA", at positions 655 to 1298 of the family's 3401-position model. Lineage: Eukaryota; Metazoa; Mollusca; Bivalvia; Adapedonta; Hiatellidae. The record is from RNAcentral.